GUGGGGAAUCUUCCACAAUGGACGAAAGUCUGAUGGAGCAACGCCGCGUGAGUGAAGAAGGGUUUCGGCUCGUAAAGCUCUGUUGUCGGGGACGAAUGUGCAGUAUUUGAAUAAAGUACUGCAAUGACGGUACCUGACGAGGAAGCCACGGCUAACUACGUGCCAGCAGCCGCGGUAAUACGUAGGUGGCAAGCGUUGUCCGGCAUUAUUGGGCGUAAAGGGAGCGCAGGCGGGAAGGUAAGUCGGUCUUAAAAGUGCGGGGCUCAACCCCGUGAUGGGAUCGAAACUAUCUUUCUUGAGUGCAGGAGAGGAAAGUGGAAUUCCUAGUGUAGCGGUGAAAUGCGUAGAUAUUAGGAGGAACACCAGUGGCGAAGGCGACUUUCUGGACUGUAACUGACGCUGAGGCUCGAAAGCCAGGGGAGCGAACGGGAUUAGAAACCCGAGUAGUCC
RNAcentral lists this ribosomal RNA (450 nucleotides) under uncultured bacterium. RNAcentral's name for it is "partial 16S ribosomal RNA". It matches the Rfam family "Bacterial small subunit ribosomal RNA", at positions 354 to 796 of the family's 1533-position model. The record is from RNAcentral.